GACGAACGCUGGCGGCGUGCUUAACACAUGCAAGUCGAACGGAAAGGCCCUGCUUUUGUGGGGUGCUCGAGUGGCGAGCGGGUGAGUAACACAUGAGUAACCUGCCCUUGACUUUGGGAUAUCUUCAGGAGACUGGGGCUAAUACCGGAUAGGAGCUCCUGCUGCAUGGUGGGGGUUGGAAAGUUUCGGCGGUUGUGGAUCGACUCGCGGCUUAUCAGCUUGUUGGUGGGGUAGUGGCUUACGAAGGUUUUGACGGGUAGCCGGCCUGGGAGGGUGGACGGGCACAAGGGUACUGAGGGAGGGAGCAGACGCGUACGGGAGGCAGUAGUGGGGAAUAUGGCACAGUGGGCGGAAGCCUGAUGCAGCAGCGCUGCGAGCGGGAUGACGGCCUUCGGGUUGUAAACCGCUUUCGCCUGUGACGAAGCGGGAGUGACGGUAAUGGGUAAAGAAGCACCGGCUAACUACGUG
This 468-nucleotide ribosomal RNA is filed under the name uncultured bacterium. RNAcentral's name for it is "partial 16S ribosomal RNA". It matches the Rfam family "Bacterial small subunit ribosomal RNA", at positions 28 to 507 of the family's 1533-position model. The record is from RNAcentral.